This 253-nucleotide ribosomal RNA is filed under the name uncultured bacterium. Its description in RNAcentral is "partial 16S ribosomal RNA". It matches the Rfam family "Bacterial small subunit ribosomal RNA", at positions 524 to 776 of the family's 1533-position model. The record is from RNAcentral.
UACAGAGGGUGCAAGCGUUAAUCGGAAUUACUGGGCGUAAAGCGCGCGUAGGUGGUUCGUUAAGUUGGAUGUGAAAUCCCCGGGCUCAACCUGGGAACUGCAUCCAAAACUGGCAAGCUAGAGUAUGGCAGAGGGUGGUGGAAUUUCCUGUGUAGCGGUGAAAUGCGUAGAUAUAGGAAGGAACACCAGUGGCGAAGGCGACCACCUGGGCUAAUACUGACACUGAGGUGCGAAAGCGUGGGGAGCAAACAGG